Long non-coding RNA from Cuculus canorus (common cuckoo), 977 nucleotides. RefSeq lists it as uncharacterized. The record is from RefSeq and is a predicted model, not a curated record. The transcript is spliced from 3 exons. Lineage: Eukaryota; Metazoa; Chordata; Aves; Cuculiformes; Cuculidae.
UCUUUAAAAGAUGUUUAUUCUGUUCUCUUUUAAGGGAGAAUCAUUUAUGCAAACCCUUCUAACCUUAAAAAAUGGAAUUCAGGUUGCCUGCAAUUACCUGCAAAUAUUUUGAAUUGACAUGAUAGAAGCCUUUCUCACUUCAGAAGCAUUUAUUUUGAGUUCAGGGUCACUCCUCAGCCUCGACUAUGGAAGUGUGACUGGUUUUUGCGUCCUGCUUUCACUUCAAGUCCUUCUAAAAUGAUGAGCUACACUGGCACUCACACUGCUCAGCUGGAGGGGAUUUGUGUAGACUAAAAGACAAGUCACUGCCAGAAAUCAGCAACUGUCAAGACAUGAGGGGGCAAAAUGCUUGUGUGCUACACCCCAUGCUCAGGCUUUUCAGUUCUCUUAUUGCCAUGGUCAAAAUACAACCUUCAACAGUUCAGCCUGCAGCUGGCCUCAUAUCUUUGGGGAAAAAAAGGCGAAGGACCUAGCCAUGUGGAGAAGCUCCUGUCUCACGGAUUCCCAGGCAUAUAGCCAUCUGCCAAGAAGCUCAUAUUGCCUAGGUUGAUCUACAGCAAAGCCUGAGAUCCCAGACCAUUCUGAGAGGUGACACUGGUGAGGCCAACCUGUGGAAGAACUGAAGGCAGACCUGCAAGUGCUUCAAGGCUUUCAGCUUUCAGUCGUGUGGCAAGGAAGACUUCUGAGAUUAAGGGCCUACUGGAAUGCAUAGCAAUGCCCCAUCCCCAUCUACAUGCCCAGAGGAUGAAGUGCCCCUUGUCCCCCCUGUCCUGAUCAAAGGAGAAAUCCUACAUCCUUCACUUCAGGUGUUGUCAGUUCCAUGUCAGAAACGUGAAAAUCAGAAAGGGUAUCACAUGGGCUGAAGAGAACUCUGUUUGUGAAGUGGUGUAAGUGCCUGCAGAAUGAAAAGAGGACUCAAAGGAAAGGAAACAAGCAAAGAGCAAUGGAAAAUAGAUGAUUUCCAUCCAAACUGAAUC